RNAcentral lists this ribosomal RNA (897 nucleotides) under uncultured Gammaproteobacteria bacterium. Its description in RNAcentral is "bacterial SSU rRNA". It matches the Rfam family "Bacterial small subunit ribosomal RNA", at positions 94 to 987 of the family's 1533-position model. The record is from RNAcentral. Lineage: Bacteria; Pseudomonadati; Pseudomonadota; Gammaproteobacteria.
AGUGGCGGACGGGUGAGUAACGCGUAGGAAUCUGCCUCAUAGUGGGGGACAACGUGGGGAAACUCACGCUAAUACCGCAUACGCCCUACGGGGGAAAGCGGGGGAUCUUCGGACCUCGCGCUAUGAGAUGAGCCUGCGUUAGAUUAGCUAGUUGGUAGGGUAAAGGCCUACCAAGGCGACGAUCUAUAGCUGGUCUGAGAGGACGAUCAGCCACACUGGGACUGAGACACGGCCCAGACUCCUACGGGAGGCAGCAGUGGGGAAUAUUGGACAAUGGGCGAAAGCCUGAUCCAGCAAUACCGCGUGUGUGAAGAAGGCCUUAGGGUUGUAAAGCACUUUCAAUUGGGAGGAAAACCUACCGGUCAAUACCCGGUAGCUUGACAUUACCUUUAGAAGAAGCACCGGCUAACUCCGUGCCAGCAGCCGCGGUAAUACGGAGGGUGCGAGCGUUAAUCGGAAUUACUGGGCGUAAAGCGUGCGUAGGCGGUUCGUUAAGUCAGAUGUGAAAGCCCUGGGCUCAACCUGGGAACUGCAUUUGAAACUGGCGGACUAGAGUUUAGUAGAGGGGAGUGGAAUUUCAGGUGUAGCGGUGAAAUGCGUAGAUAUCUGAAGGAACACCAGUGGCGAAGGCGACUCCCUGGACUAGAACUGACGCUGAGGUACGAAAGCGUGGGUAGCAAACAGGAUUAGAUACCCUGGUAGUCCACGCCGUAAACGAUGUCGACUAGCCGUUGGUCCUAUUUACAGGAUUAGUGGCGCAGCUAACGCAUUAAGUCGACCGCCUGGGGAGUACGGCCGCAAGGUUAAAACUCAAAUGAAUUGACGGGGGCCCGCACAAGCGGUGGAGCAUGUGGUUUAAUUCGAUGCAACGCGAAGAACCUUACCUACCCUUGACAU